GCCAGCAGCCAUAUCACCCUGCAACUCACAACUGGCAGCCCACUGAAGCUAAGCAGAUGUGAGCCUGGUUAGUACCUGGAUGGGAGAGCUCCUGGGAAAAACUAAGGUUGCUGCUGGAA
Molecule: ribosomal RNA, 119 nt
Filed under: Lepisosteus oculatus (spotted gar)
Lineage: Eukaryota; Metazoa; Chordata; Actinopteri; Semionotiformes; Lepisosteidae
Source: RNAcentral